CCUACGGGAGGCAGCAGUGGGGAAUCUUGCACAAUGGAGGAAACUCUGAUGCAGCGAUGCCGCGUGAGUGAAGAAGGCCUUUGGGUUGUAAAGCUCUUUUGUAGGGGAAGAUAAUGACUGUACCCUAAGAAUAAGGUCCGGCUAACUUCGUGCCAGCAGCCGCGGUAAUACGAAGGGACCUAGCGUAGUUCGGAAUUACUGGGCGUAAAGCGCGCGUAGGCCGUUGAGUUAGUUAAUUGUGAAAUCCCAAAGCUUAACUUUGGAACUGCAAUUAAAACUGCUCGACUAGAGUUUGAUAGAGGAAAGCGGAAUACAUAGUGUAGAGGUGAAAUUCGUAGAUAUUAUGUAGAACACCAGUUGCGAAGGCGGCUUUCUGGAUCAACACUGACGCUGAGGCGCGAAAGUAUGGGUAGCAAAGAGGAUUAGAUACCCUCGUAGUCCAUACCAUAAACGAUGAUUGCUAGAUGUUGGAAAUUUAUUUUCAGUAUCGCANUACNCAUANANAUCNCUGGNGUACGACGCAGUAACUACAANANAUGNGCGNGAGAGNGCGAGCGACACGAGGAGAGG
This 570-nucleotide ribosomal RNA is filed under the name uncultured bacterium. Its description in RNAcentral is "bacterial SSU rRNA". The stretch from base 1 to 510 matches the Rfam family "Bacterial small subunit ribosomal RNA", at positions 338 to 873 of the family's 1533-position model. The record is from RNAcentral.